This 253-nucleotide ribosomal RNA is filed under the name uncultured bacterium. RNAcentral's name for it is "partial 16S ribosomal RNA". It matches the Rfam family "Bacterial small subunit ribosomal RNA", at positions 524 to 776 of the family's 1533-position model. The record is from RNAcentral.
AACGGAGGGGGCUAGCGUUGUUCGGAAUUACUGGGCGUAAAGCGUACGUAGGCGGCUUUGUAAGUUAGAGGUGAAAGCCCGGGGCUCAACUCCGGAAUUGCCUUUAAGACUGCAUCGCUUGAAUCAUGGAGAGGUGAGUGGAAUUCCGAGUGUAGAGGUGAAAUUCGUAGAUAUUCGGAAGAACACCAGUGGCGAAGGCGACUCACUGGACAUGUAUUGACGCUGAGGUACGAAAGCGUGGGGAGCAAACAGG